AUUGAACGCUGGCGGAAUGCUUUACACAUGCAAGUCGAACGGCAGCACGGGGGCAACCCUGGUGGCGAGUGGCGAACGGGUGAGUAAUAUAUCGGAACGUGCCCAGUCGUGGGGGAUAACGUAGCGAAAGUUACGCUAGUACCGCAUACGAUCUACGGAUGAAAGCGGGGGAUCGCAAGACCUCGCGCGAUUGGAGCGGCCGAUAUCAGAUUAGGUAGUUGGUGGGGUAAAGGCUCACCAAGCCAACGAUCUGUAGCUGGUCUGAGAGGACGACCAGCCACACUGGGACUGAGACACGGCCCAGACUCCUACGGGAGGCAGCAGUGGGGAAUUUUGGACAAUGGGCGCAAGCCUGAUCCAGCCAUUCCGCGUGCAGGACGAAGGCCUUCGGGUUGUAAACUGCUUUUGUACGGAACGAAAAAGCCUUGGCUAAUACCCAGGGUCCAUGACGGUACCGUAAGAAUAAGCACCGGCUAACUACGUGCCAGCAGCCGCUGUAA
Molecule: ribosomal RNA, 500 nt
Filed under: uncultured bacterium
Lineage: Bacteria
Description: partial 16S ribosomal RNA
Rfam family: Bacterial small subunit ribosomal RNA
Source: RNAcentral